Molecule: long non-coding RNA, 1739 nt
Organism: Acipenser ruthenus (sterlet)
Lineage: Eukaryota; Metazoa; Chordata; Actinopteri; Acipenseriformes; Acipenseridae
Exons: 3
Source: RefSeq, a predicted model, not a curated record
AAAGAACAGGGACGGCUCUCAAAGUCGCCUCCACGGAAACAGAGUGUACUACCACAACGUUCCUGGUCUUUCCAGAAGGACGGAGUGCCCAUAGAAGUGAAUAAUCCCAGGUCUACAAAGCACCACUGUACAGCUAACACUGCAGACUUGCUUAUUUAGGUUUCCAGGGAGCACCUGAGCAGAUCUUUCAGUAUUCGCUGCACAUCUCCUGCCUGAAACUCAAGUGCAAUGGAUGGCUCUUUCUACAGCCAUCACGAUGGACGUUCUAACCUCACUGAACCGAUGGACACACGGGUUAUAGGUGUGAGCAUUUACUACAUAGUUUCGUUAGUCUUGUUUUGUGGAAGCUUCCUCUGUGGUUUGCCUCUCAACUGUGUGGCACUGAGACUGCUGUGGAACGAGAGGGCCUCAUCUGCUGUUCCUGUUACCUUCCCAUUAAACCUCACUGUCCUAAACAUCCUGCUCACCACCACACUCCCUUAUUACAUCUACAUCAGCUACAGUGCUUUCAGUAGCUCACCUUUCAUAUUGUACUUUGUGAUAAUCUACAUGUACAUAAUCACCAAUGACAUGUUCACCAGCUGUAUCUGCCUCAGCAAGGUUUUUUUCAUAGUCCGUCCUUUGGGGAACUUUUGCAUUCAGAAUAAAAAAUCCAUGAAUAUCCUUUCUGGUCUGAUCUGGGUUAUCUCUAUAGCUAUUUGCAUGGUAAGGGUAUUCAUAUUUUAUUCACACCUGUACGACUAUGUUUUUUUUUUGGGAUGCUUCGUUGUCAUAGCUUGCAGCUACAUUUACAUCCAGGUGAUCUACCUCAAGCAAUAUAUGGAUGCAGUUGACACCACAGACUUGAGGAGUGCCCUGAAGUUUACUCUAGCUAUGUUAGCUAGCACCACUGUAAGCUUUGCCCCAUUGAUGGUAGGGACAAUCUUACUGUACAUUCAAACAAAUGUAACUGUGUUGUUGACAUAUCUCUGUGUCCUUGUUCCAGUGUCUAGUGUUAAGUGCACACUGGAUGCACUUAUAUUCAUAAUUUUUGCAGGUGGCUUCCCCUGUUAGCUACCUUGCUUAUCAAGAUAUACAUCUGAUUGUACUUCAGUAUAAAAUUUGCUUGACAAAACACAACCAGUAUGGAAGUAACCUCAGAAAUUACAGACCAGUUUUGGCAAAUAAUUCUAGCUAUGUUUAGGGUUUGGACAAAAAAUUGGAGACACUUGUCUUACCAAUGUCAAUAUGCCAUAUGGGCCCCCACCCUUAUAAAAGUUUACCAUGGUAUUGUUGCAGUUUUCCCAUGCUUUUCCUAUGGUUAUACUAUGCAUUUACUUUUAGUAAAUAGUUUACUGAUUUGCCAUGUUUAUUAAUAUGCUUCACCCUACGUCACUCUUCUUUACAAUGCUUACCUAUGCUUUAGCUAUGCUUUUACUAUGGUCAACUUUUAUAAAGGCAGCCUGGACAAUACUAAUUCAAUGUGACGAUUUUGCUAAGAGUUCACACUUUACAUCCAUUAUUGUCAUUUUUACUUCCUUCGGAGAUGUUUGGGGUGGAAAGUCAGCACUUUUAAAACUGCUCCUUUUGAAAGACCAGUCAUUUGCAGUCUUACAUACAGAAGUACCAGUCUGUCAGAUCUGCAGACUUACCAGUCUUGACUGAAUCUGAUAGUUUGUUACAGAAUACAUGUUGUACUGUAUGUGUCGUCAUCUCCUGCAUUUCCAUGAAAUGAAUGACUGUGUGUUGUGUAGUUUGAA